Molecule: ribosomal RNA, 484 nt
Filed under: uncultured bacterium
Lineage: Bacteria
Description: partial 16S ribosomal RNA
Rfam family: Bacterial small subunit ribosomal RNA
Source: RNAcentral
AUUGAACGCUGGCGGCAGGCCUAACACAUGCAAGUCGAGCGGAUGACGGGAGCUUGCUCCUUGAUUCAGCGGCGGACGGGUGAGUAAUGCCUAGGAAUCUGCCUGGUAGUGGGGGACAACGUUUCGACAGGAACGCUAAUACCGCAUCCGUCCUACGGGAGAAAGCAGGGGACCUUCGGGCCUUGCGCUAUCAGAUGAGCCUAGGUCGGAUUAGCUUGUUGGUGAGGUAAUGGCUCACCAAGGCGACGAUCCGUAACUGGUCUGAGAGGAUGAUCAGUCACACUGGAACUGAGACACGGUCCAGACUCCUACGGGAGGCAGCAGUGGGGAAUAUUGGACAAUGGGCGAAAGCCUGAUCCAGCAAUGCCGCGUGUGUGAAGAAGGUCUUCGGAUUGUAAAGCACUUUAAGUUGGGAGGAAGGGUUGUAGAUUAAUACUCUGCAAUUUUGACGUUACCGACAGAAUAAGCACCGGCUAACUCUGUG